This 74-nucleotide transfer RNA is filed under the name Deltaproteobacteria bacterium. RNAcentral's name for it is "tRNA-Gln". It matches the Rfam family "tRNA". From Rfam's summary of the family: Transfer RNA (tRNA) molecules are approximately 80 nucleotides in length. Their secondary structure includes four short double-helical elements and three loops (D, anti-codon, and T loops). Lineage: Bacteria; Pseudomonadati; Myxococcota; Myxococcia. The record is from RNAcentral. RNAcentral also lists the same sequence under 2 other names.
UGGGGGAUCGUUCAACGGUAGGACAACGGACUCUGACUCCGUGAAUCAAGGUUCAAAUCCUUGUCCCCCAGCCA